This 556-nucleotide long non-coding RNA is filed under the name Mus pahari (shrew mouse). RNAcentral describes it as "lncRNA (MGP_PahariEiJ_G0005962.1)". The record is from RNAcentral. Lineage: Eukaryota; Metazoa; Chordata; Mammalia; Rodentia; Muridae.
GAAGGCUUGCAUUAAAUUCUGGCUCCAGGCCACUGCGGUGCAUUGUGGCCUGGAGGUGCUUUGGGCAUACUAGACAUUGCCACCACCCAAAGCUUCGUGCUGGUUCUUGAGAAGAGAGUAGGGCAAGUUAGCUAUGUAUUGUGAGGAUACACAAGCAAUUUAUAAAGAGGCUCAUGUGGCAAUAAUGGGGAACUCUUGCCAACCCCAUGGAAUGGAGCCAUCCAGGAAACAGACACCCAGCUCCAGUCCAACUGUCAGAUGCCUGAAGCUCUUGCCAACAUCUUGAGCUUACCACAGUGGAAUGAGGACCUGGACGGGGCCACCCAGGUUGUGAGUUGUGUCCUUCCCUCAACCUCAGUCUUUCUCAACUGGCUGCUGCUUAAGGAAUCAGAGCAAAGGAAAUAAAGCAGAGAGGGGAAGAGGUCCAUAGCUCCAGGCUGUGAACUUCCAGAAAUGCAAGCUACCCUUCAAACAAACAAAACCGAAAACAUUUCUUACAGGAAGAUGAUCAACAUAGACCAAGAAUGAAUGAACGAGGGCAGCUGUGAGAAGAAAG